UGAUCCAGCAAUGCCGCGUGUUUGAAGAAGGCCUUCGGGUUGUAAAGCACUUUGUCCGGAAAGAAAACCUCGUGGUUAAUACCCGUGGGGGAUGACGGUACCGGAAGAAUAAGCACCGGCUAACUACGUGCCAGCAGCCGCGGUAAUACGUAGGGUGCAAGCGUUAAUCGGAAUUACUGGGCGUAAAGCGUGCGCAGGCGGUUCGCUAAGACAGAUGUGAAAUCCCCGGGCUUAACCUGGGAACUGCAUUUGUGACUGGCGGGCUAGAGUAUGGCAGAGGGGGGUAGAAUUCCACGUGUAGCAGUGAAAUGCGUAGAGAUGUGGAGGAAUACCGAUGGCGAAGGCAGCCCCCUGGGCCAAUACUGACGCUCAUGCACGAAAGCGUGGGGAGCAAACAGGAUUAGAUACCCUGGUAGUCCACGCCCUAAACGAUGUCAACUAGUUGUUGGGGAUUCAUUUCCUUAGUAACGUAGCUAACGCGUGAAGUUGACCGCCUGGGGAGUACGGUCGCAAGAUUAAAACUCAAAGGAAUUGACGGGGACCCGCACAAGCGGUGGAUGAUGUGGAUUAAUUCGAUGCAACGCGAAAAACCUUACCUACCCUUGACAUGUAUGGAACCUGGCUGAGAGGCCGGGGUGCCCGAAAGGGAGCUAUAACACAGGUGCUGCAUGGCU
RNAcentral lists this ribosomal RNA (674 nucleotides) under uncultured beta proteobacterium. Its description in RNAcentral is "bacterial SSU rRNA". It matches the Rfam family "Bacterial small subunit ribosomal RNA", at positions 384 to 1050 of the family's 1533-position model. The record is from RNAcentral. Lineage: Bacteria; Pseudomonadati; Pseudomonadota; Betaproteobacteria.